GUCUACGUGUCCACCUCAGAAGUCAGAGAAAGACCAGAGUGAAGCUCUGAGUCUAGCUGACGACGGUGCUGCGCAGAAGUUGCCCCCAAGUGGUCUGAACACUGAAACUGCACCAGAGAAGACUGUGUGUGGUGCCCAGAGGCACAAGAAGGCUCGCCAGGUGCAGGACCUCACCGACAGGAUCCAACGUCUGCCCGUUCCUGUGCAGCAACAGCACGAACGCACAUUGCCUCU
Molecule: non-coding RNA, 234 nt
Organism: Labrus bergylta (ballan wrasse)
Lineage: Eukaryota; Metazoa; Chordata; Actinopteri; Labriformes; Labridae
Source: RefSeq, a predicted model, not a curated record